Molecule: long non-coding RNA, 1581 nt
Organism: Apodemus sylvaticus (European woodmouse)
Lineage: Eukaryota; Metazoa; Chordata; Mammalia; Rodentia; Muridae
Exons: 5
Source: RefSeq, a predicted model, not a curated record
AGACGGCACACUGUCUAGUGGGUCUUCUUCGGGACUCCUUUGUGAGAACACCAGAACUGAGGUGCUUAUUUACUGGAGAUCCUUGGUCUCUAGCCAGGCUCUGCCUCAGCAACAUCAAGGUGGAGUAUGGACCAUAACCCUGUCUCCUUGCUUGCAAGAAAACUUGGGAGUUUGAGGAAGAAGCUUCUGAAGGUUCUGAAGUCCACCUCCCAUAAUCACUGAAGGAUGCCAAGAAUGAGCCGUAUCUGGAGACUCCAUCUGGCUAAGCAACACUAAGCUAAGGCUCUCUUCUCUAGUGCAGCUAUGUUGCUAUGUCCUGACAGCCUGUGCUGCCCUUAGUCGAAGGUGUGGAUAAUUAAGGUUUCUGGGAAGAGUCUCAAAUGAGUGAAGCCUGAGAGCCCUACAAAGACAGAUGUGCUUUCAUUUUGUGAGUCCUAGAUGGGAUGAAAGAUGGCGGCCGGUGAUGCCAUCUCAAGGCCUAUUUUCUGAAGAUCCAUUGAAUUACACCUGCUCCAGCGCCAGUAAGUACCAGCUUGGGAGCCCUUGCUGUGCUCUGCAGGCUGGCUUGCUCUGUUCGAUAUAUGUUGUUUCCAUUAUGAAUAGACUGACGGAAAAUCUCUGAAAACUGUGAUUAGAUGUUCCUUAUGUGCUCCAGGAAAUGAUUCAAUGGCACGGUGCCCAACUUCCCCAUUUCUUCAACUUCUACCAAGUACUUUUGCAGGAGCAUACUAAGUAACCCCUGUUUGUCCUCCUCUGUCCGCUCCAGGUGAAUCCCACCUUGGUCAUCUGGAUGAGCUGAGAACCAAGGCAUCUAUGGGCUUGGAACCAGGCACUGGUGGUCAGAGAUUCCCUUCUUUAGCAAGAGGCCUGGAAGCAGUGGGAAAAAUGUGAAGCACUGACUUCAAGGGGGGCAAGGAGCAAAACUCAGAUGAAAUGUGUAACUGAUGUUGGUUUUUGGCUUUUGUUUCUGUUUUUGUUUAGUGUCCCAGUGUUUUCAUCUCAAUGAGACAAUGCAUCCUCAAUUGCAGGAACCUUUCAAAGCUCUUUGUGUAGGUUGGCAAUGAGAAUACUCUCAAUGACAUGCCAGUUGCAGGAGCAGAAGCUGUAAUGAGGACAACAGAGCAGGUUUAUGGCCAUACCUUAGUCUUUGACCUUAGUAUGUUACCAGGCCCAAGUUUUCCCUCACUGUCUGUAACUAUUCCCUCUAUUCCUGACUAGGCUGGUUAAGACUCACUGACAAGAUUCAGGUGGUAGUCAAAACUCACAAUUGUAAGGAAGUUCCUGAAACUUACAAGAUUCACUAAGCCCCUCUCCCAAAGCUAUAUAAACAAUAAUAUUGGCUGGGAGGAGAACAUUGGACUGAUCAAACUACCUGAAACUCAUGCAAGAAACUCCCACAAUAGUUUCUGUGAAUCAUUGUCCAUGAUUAAGUGGGUUUUUGUUGAUACAGCUGCCUUUGGGUCAUUUGUGGUCCUGUAACUGUUUACCAAGACUCUUGUAGGUAACCCCUGAUAAACACACUGGUUCACUAAGUUAGGCUUGAGUGAAUUAUUUCUUUGGUUUGCUGUUGAUGACUUAUCU